This 253-nucleotide ribosomal RNA is filed under the name uncultured bacterium. RNAcentral's name for it is "partial 16S ribosomal RNA". It matches the Rfam family "Bacterial small subunit ribosomal RNA", at positions 524 to 776 of the family's 1533-position model. The record is from RNAcentral.
UACGUAGGGAGCAAGCGUUGUCCGGAAUCAUUGGGCGUAAAGCGCGCGUAGGCGGCCCUGUAAGUCCGCUGUGAAAGUCAAAGGCUCAACCUUUGAAAGCCGGUGGAUACUGCAGGGCUAGAGUCCGGAAGAGGCGAGUGGAAUUCCUGGUGUAGCGGUGGAAUGCGCAGAUAUCAGGAGGAACACCAAUAGCGAAGGCAGCUCGCUGGGACGGUACUGAUGCUGAGGCGCGAAAGCGUGGGGAGCGAACAGG